UACAGGGGGUGCGAGCGUUAAUCGGAAUUACUGGGUGUAAAGGGCGCGUAGGCGGCAUGACAUGUGUGGUGUGAAAGCCCCGGGCUUAACCUGGGAAGUGCACCGCAAACUGUCAGGCUAGAGUACAUGAGAGGGUGGCGGAAUUUCCGGUGUAGCGGUGAAAUGCGUAGAGAUCGGAAGGAACGUCAAUGGCGAAGGCAGCCACCUGGCAUGAUACUGACGCUGAGGCGCGAAAGCGUGGGGAGCGAACAGG
Molecule: ribosomal RNA, 253 nt
Filed under: uncultured bacterium
Lineage: Bacteria
Description: partial 16S ribosomal RNA
Rfam family: Bacterial small subunit ribosomal RNA
Source: RNAcentral